GACCCUUGGCUUCUUUCCUUUCUUGUAACAGCGACCCGCGAACGACCACGAAGUCUAGAUAACAAUAAUAUAUAAUUUCCCUAACUGUUUUUAAAUGCUAGAACAUGGAUUUAUAUGAAUUAGAAGACGAUUUGGAUUACAAAAUUCUAGAAGAAUUGAGUGUAGUGGAUGAAGCAGCAGAGGACCAAGAAAAUGGUGUUGUUGUAGCAGAUAGAUGUGAAAGGAUGUGACUGCCAAUGACACAGAUUCAAGGAAAAAGAAAAUGACUAACAAAUCUCGGACCAAAAAAAUAAGUAUAGAUCGUCCAGCAGGAAAGUUCACGGAGGACGACAUGUUGAUGAAGGUAAAGGACCAUGUCACAUCUGCUUUCAAGUUAUUGGUAGAGGACCCUGUCUACAGCAAUAAGCGGUAUCCAAUUCCAAUCGAAUUUGAGACAAGGAAACAUUUGACUGUAAAUCAGCUUAGCUCAAUGAGUGAAAUCGAUUAUCUGGAUGUGAUGUUUCA
Molecule: long non-coding RNA, 504 nt
Organism: Anneissia japonica
Lineage: Eukaryota; Metazoa; Echinodermata; Crinoidea; Comatulida; Comatulidae
Exons: 3
Source: RefSeq, a predicted model, not a curated record